AUUGAACGCUGGCGGCAGGCCUAACACAUGCAAGUCGAGCGGAGCGGCGGACGGGUGAGUAAUGCCUCGGAAUCUGCCUGGUAGUGGGGGAUAACGUCCGGAAACGGGCGCUAAUACCGCAUACUAGCAGAUGAGCCUAGGUCGGAUUAGCUAGUUGGUGGGGUAAAGGGCUACCAAGGCGACGCUCCGUAACUGGUCUGAGAGGAUGAUACGUCACACGGUAAGUGGGACACGGUCACGAGUCCUACGGGAGGCAGCAGUGGGGAAUAGUGGACAAUGGGCGGAAGCCUGAUCCAGCCAGGCCAAGUGUGUGAAGAAGGUCUUCGGAGUGUAAAGCACUUUAAGUUGUGAGGCGUUACCAACAGAAUAAGCACCGGCUAACUUCGUGCCAGCCGCCGCGGUAAUUC
This 407-nucleotide ribosomal RNA is filed under the name uncultured bacterium. Its description in RNAcentral is "partial 16S ribosomal RNA". It matches the Rfam family "Bacterial small subunit ribosomal RNA", at positions 30 to 526 of the family's 1533-position model. The record is from RNAcentral.